AGGGCGUACGGUGAAUGCCUUGGUGCCAACAGGCGAAGAAGGACGCGGCAAGCUGCGAAAAGCCUCGGGAAGCUGCAAGCAAGCGAUGAUCCGGGGAUAUCCGAAUGGGGUAACCUGAUCGAGGCAAUACUCGAUCGUUCAUACCUGAAUACAUAGGGUAUGAAACGCGAAACCCGCUGAAGUGAAACAUCUCAGUAAGCGGAGGAAAAGAAAGAGAAAUCGAUUCCGUAAGUAGUGGCGAGCGAAAGCGGAUGGAGCCCAAACCGAAGGUAUUCCUUCGGGGUUGUAGGACCACGUCAUAUUCGACCAUACUGGAUAGUAGAACAGCCUGGAAAGGCUGGCCGGAGAAGGUGAAAGCCCUGUAGACGAAAUCCAGAGUGGGAAUUAGUGGUAUCCUGAGUAAUACAUCACACGUGGAACGAUGUAUGAACCCGCGCGGACCACCGCGCAAGGCUAAAUACUAGUUGGCGACCGAUAGUGAACAAGUACCGCGAGGGAAAGGUGAAAAGAACCGCUGUGAGCGGAGUGAAAUAGAACCUGAAACCGUAUGUCUACAAAGUGUCAGAGCAGAGCAAUCUGCGAUGGCGUGCCUUUUGUUUAAUGAGUCUGCGAGUCAGUGUUUGUGGCAAGACUAAGGGCUUCCGGCCCGGAGUCGCAGCGAAAGCAAGUCCGAACAGGGCGCAAUAAGUCGCAGGUACUGGACCCGAAGCGGAGGUGACCUACCCUUGGCCAGGUUGAAGCAUGGGUAAAACCAUGUGGAGGACCGAACAGGUGAACGUUGAAAAGUUCUCUGAUGAGCUGAGGGUAGGAGUGAAAGGCUAAUCAAACCCCGUGAUAGCUGGUUCUCUUCGAAAUGCAUUUAGGUGCAGCGUCACGUGCUGAUGCGCGGGGGUAGAGCACUGACAAGGCUAGGGGGCACACCCGCUUACCAAACCUUAUCAAACUCCGAAUACCGUGCAAUGGAACGUGGCAGUGAGACAGUGGGGGAUAAGCUUCAUUGUCGAGAGGGAAACAACCCAGACCAGCAGCUAAGGUGCCUAAAUAACGCUCAGUGGAAAGGAUGUGGGAUUACACAGACAGUGAGGAUGUUGGCUUAGAAGCAGCCACCAUUUAAAAAAUGCGUAAUAGCUUACUCAUCGAGUGAUCCUGCGCCGAAAAUGAUUGGCGAUCAAGCGUUAUACCGAAGCUCUGGACUUUGCCGCAAGGCAGAGUGGUAGAAGAGCGUUGCAUGCGCGUCGAAGGGCGAUGGCGACUGACCCUGGAGCACAUGCAAGUGAGUAUGCAGACAUGAGUAACGUUAAGCCGGGUGAAAUCCCCGGCCGCCGUAAACCCGAGGUUUCCAGGGCAACGUGUUUCGUCCCUGGGUUAGCCGGGACCUAAGCCGAGGCCGAGAGGCGUAGGCGAUGGACAUCAGGUUAAUAAUCCUGAGCUCGCAACCCUUAAACUGGGGGGACGCAUGAGAAAAGAUGACUAGGUUAUUGAAUUCCGAGUUGAGUCUACGGACUCAGCGCAUCAUUGGAUCGAGUGCCAAGAAAAGCCCCAGCGUAUGCUAAGCGACCCGUACCGCAAACCGACACAGGUGGGUGGGUAGAAUAUACCAAGGCGUAAGAGUGAAACCUGGUUAAGGAACUCGGCAAAUUAGCCCCGUAACUUCGGAAGAAGGGGUGCCUGCAGCGAUGCAGGCCGCAGAGAAAUGGCCCAACCGACUGUUUAUCAAAAACACAGCACUCUGCAAAGACGCAAGUCGAAGUAUAGGGUGUGACACGUGACCAAUGCCGAAAGAUUAAGGCAAGGGGUUAGCCGCAAGGCGAAGCUCUAAACCCAAGUCCCGGUGAAUGUCGGCCGUAACUAUAACGGUCCUAAGGUAGCGAAAUUCCUUGUCGGGUAAGUUCCGACCUGCACGAAUCGUGAAACGAGUUGGGCACUGUCUCAACCAGGCGCUCAGUGAAAUUGUAGUGGCGGUGAAGAUGCCGCCUACCCGCAGAAGGACGGAAAGACCCUAUAGACCUUAACUGUAAGCUGUCAUUGUUUCUUCGGUUUUAAUGCUCAGAGUAAGUGGGAGACGCUGAAGACGCCCUUUAGGGGGCGUCCGAGUCAUCAAUGAGACACCACCCUUUGAAACUGGAGGAUCUAACCCUGAGCCGUGAAUCCGGCCAGAGGACCGUGUCAGCCGGUCAGUUUUACUGGGGCGGUAUCCUCCCAAAGAGUAACGGAGGAGCGCGAAGGUGGGCUCAGCCCGGUUGGCAACCGGGUGUCGAGUGCAUGGGCAUAAGCCCGCCUAACUGUGAGACCAACAAGUCGAGCAGAUGCGAAAGCAGGCCCAAGUGAUCCGGCGGUAGAAAGUGGAAUUGCCGUCGCUCAACGGAUAAAAGGUACCUUAGGGAUAACAGGCUGAUCACGCCCAAGAGUUCAUAUCGACGGCGUGGUUUGGCACCUCGAUGUCGGCUCGUCGCAUCCUGGGGCU
Molecule: ribosomal RNA, 2464 nt
Filed under: human gut metagenome
Description: bacterial LSU rRNA
Rfam family: Bacterial large subunit ribosomal RNA
Source: RNAcentral